RNAcentral lists this ribosomal RNA (368 nucleotides) under uncultured organism. Its description in RNAcentral is "bacterial SSU rRNA". It matches the Rfam family "Bacterial small subunit ribosomal RNA", at positions 526 to 896 of the family's 1533-position model. The record is from RNAcentral.
CGGAGGGUGCAAGCGUUAUCCGGAUUCACUGGGUUUAAAGGGUGCGUAGGUGGGCAGGUAAGUCAGUGGUGAAAUCCUUGAGCUUAACUCGAGAACUGCCAUUGAUACUAUCUGACUUGAAUGUUGUGGAGGUGAGCGGAAUAUGUCAUGUAGCGGUGAAAUGCUUAGAUAUGACAUAGAACAUCUAUUGCGAAGGCAGCUCACUACGCAAAUAUUGACACUGAGGCACGAAAGCGUGGGGAUCAAACAGGAUUAGAUACCCUGGUAGUCCACGCCCUAAACGAUGGAUACUCGACAUACGCGAUACACAGUGUGUGUCUGAGCGAAAGCAUUAAGUAUCCCACCUGGGAAGUACGACCGCAAGGUUG